Molecule: ribosomal RNA, 420 nt
Filed under: Enterobacter cloacae
Lineage: Bacteria; Pseudomonadati; Pseudomonadota; Gammaproteobacteria; Enterobacterales; Enterobacteriaceae
Also listed under: 1 other name
Description: bacterial SSU rRNA
Rfam family: Bacterial small subunit ribosomal RNA
Source: RNAcentral
GUAGCACAGAGAGCUUGCUCUCGGGUGACGAGUGGCGGACGGGUGAGUAAUGUCUGGGAAACUGCCUGAUGGAGGGGGAUAACUACUGGAAACGGUAGCUAAUACCGCAUAACGUCGCAAGACCAAAGAGGGGGACCUUCGGGCCUCUUGCCAUCAGAUGUGCCCAGAUGGGAUUAGCUAGUAGGUGGGGUAACGGCUCACCUAGGCGACGAUCCCUAGCUGGUCUGAGAGGAUGACCAGCCACACUGGAACUGAGACACGGUCCAGACUCCUACGGGAGGCAGCAGUGGGGAAUAUUGCACAAUGGGCGCAAGCCUGAUGCAGCCAUGCCGCGUGUAUGAAGAAGGCCUUCGGGUUGUAAAGUACUUUCAGCGGGGAGGAAGGUGUUGUGGUUAAUAACCGCAGCAAUUGACGUUACCC